This 202-nucleotide ribosomal RNA is filed under the name uncultured bacterium. Its description in RNAcentral is "partial 16S ribosomal RNA". It matches the Rfam family "Bacterial small subunit ribosomal RNA", at positions 29 to 222 of the family's 1533-position model. The record is from RNAcentral.
AACGAACGCUGGCGGCGCGCCUAAUACAUGCAAGUCGAACGAGAAGCUGUAGCAAUACAGUUGUACAGUGGCGAACGGGUGAGGAAUACAUGGGUGACCUACCCUCGAGUGGGAAUAACCAGCCGAAAGGUUGGCUAAUACCGCGUACGCUUCCCAGUCUACGGGUUGGGAAGGAAAGCGAUGCCGUGGGUAUCGCGCUCAA